CGGGUGAGUAACGCGUGGGUAACCUACCCUGUACACACAGAUAACAUACCGAAAGGUAUGCUAAUACGGGAUAAUAUAUUUGAGAGGCAUCUCUUGAAUAUCAAAGGUGAGCCAGUACAGGAUGGACCCGCGUCUGAUUAGCUAGUUGGUAAGGUAACGGCUUACCAAGGCGACGAUCAGUAGCCGACCUGAGAGGGUGAUCGGCCACAUUGGAACUGAGACACGGUCCAA
Molecule: ribosomal RNA, 231 nt
Filed under: uncultured bacterium
Lineage: Bacteria
Description: partial 16S ribosomal RNA
Rfam family: Bacterial small subunit ribosomal RNA
Source: RNAcentral